This 491-nucleotide ribosomal RNA is filed under the name uncultured bacterium. Its description in RNAcentral is "partial 16S ribosomal RNA". It matches the Rfam family "Bacterial small subunit ribosomal RNA", at positions 29 to 507 of the family's 1533-position model. The record is from RNAcentral.
GUGAACGCUGGCGGUAGGCCUAACACAUGCAAGUCGAACGGCAGCACAGUAAGAGCUUGCUCUUACGGGUGGCGAGUGGCGGACGGGUGAGGAAUACAUCGGAAUCUACUUUUUCGUGGGGGAUAACGUAGGGAAACUUACGCUAAUACCGCAUACGACCUACGGGUGAAAGCAGGGGAUCUUCGGACCUUGCGCGAUUGAAUGAGCCGAUGUCGGAUUAGCUAGUUGGCGGGGUAAAGGCCCACCAAGGCGACGAUCCGUAGCUGGUCUGAGAGGAUGAUCAGCAACACUGGAACUGAGACACGGUCCAGACUCCUACGGGAGGCAGCAGUGGGGAAUAUUGGACAAUGGGCGCAAGCCUGAUCCAGCCAUACCGCGUGGGUGAAGAAGGCCUUCGGGUUGUAAAGCCCUUUUGUUGGGAAAGAAAAGCAGCAGGUUAAUACCCCGCUGUUCUGACGGUACCCAAAGAAUAAGCACCGGCUAACUUCGUG